This 563-nucleotide ribosomal RNA is filed under the name Wickerhamomyces sp. Z5Y39. Its description in RNAcentral is "eukaryotic LSU rRNA". It matches the Rfam family "Eukaryotic large subunit ribosomal RNA", at positions 78 to 654 of the family's 3401-position model. Lineage: Eukaryota; Fungi; Ascomycota; Saccharomycetes; Phaffomycetales; Wickerhamomycetaceae. The record is from RNAcentral.
GCUCAGUUACGGCGAGUGAAGCGGCAAAAGCUCAAAUUUGAAAUCUAGCACCUUCGGUGUUCGAGUUGUAAUUUGAAGAUGGUAACCUUGGGUUUGGCUCUUGUCUAUGUUCCUUGGAACAGGACGUCAUAGAGGGUGAGAAUCCCGUCUGAUGAGAUGCCCAUUCCUAUGUAAGGUGCUAUCGAAGAGUCGAGUUGUUUGGGAAUGCAGCUCUAAGUGGGUGGUAAAUUCCAUCUAAAGCUAAAUAUUGGCGAGAGACCGAUAGCGAACAAGUACAGUGAUGGAAAGAUGAAAAGAACUUUGAAAAGAGAGUGAAAAAGUACGUGAAAUUGUUGAAAGGGAAGGGCAUUAGAUCAGACUUGGUGUUUUACGAUUAUCUUCUCUUCUUGAGUUGUGCACUCGUAUUUCACUGGGCCAGCAUCGAUUCGGAUGGCAAGAUAAUGGCAGUUGAAUGUGGCUUCACUUCGGUGGAGUGUUAUAGCUUCUGCUGAUAUUGCCUGUCUGGAUCGAGGGCUGCGUCUUUUGACUAGGAUGCUGGCGUAAUGAUCUAAUGCCGCCCGUCU